AACCUUUAAAUUCUAGAUUGUAGCAAUAAUGGAAGAGAUAGAAGACAUUUAUGUACAAAUACUAUUCCUUUUCCCAGCACCAAUAUACUUCUUUCUAUCACAGCUUCAGUUUAAAAGCAUUCAAGGAGUUUCUGAAGCCUACAGCUUGUGAAGAAGAGUGCCUCAUCUGCUGGAAGAACACACUUUACAUAAAAGAGGAUGAGAUUUGGAGAAUGAGAACAUUACUGGAGCCUGACGUGGGGGAAACCAACAAGCCAGGAAGGACGAAAUCAGUUGAGGACCCUGAUGUCAUUGUCUUCUCAAGCAGGAAUGACACUGACCAGCCCCUCCACAAACGCAGAUGGAGCAGCGCCUGACUCAGCAUACCCCAGUUUGCCUCAUGUGUCCAUAAACAGCAAAUACAAAUUUCCCCCUUUAGAAUCAGAGAACCUCAGAGUUGGAAAGGUAUUUAGAGAUCACAUACAGUAGCCCUCUUGUUUUUCUUAUGAAUCAGGACCUGGGGGAACCCGGGUGGCUCAGUGGUUGAGCAUCUGCUUUUGGCCUAGUUGUCAUCCAGGGGACCUGGGAUCAAGUAUUGCAUUGGGCACCCCGUGGGGAGCCUGCUUCUCCCUCUGCCUGUGUCUCUGCCUCUCUCUGUGUGUCUCUCAUUAACGAUUAAGUAAAAUCUUUAAAAAGAAAAAAAACAACAACAUUGGGGCCUGGGCCCAGGGAAAUGAAGCCAUUGGCCCAGCGGUUAUUAUUAUUAUUAGCUGAGUUAAAACUAGAGGUAAAAGUUUCUUACCCUCUAGCCAGACACCAUCCACUCACUACAGAAUGUGCUUGCUUGGUAUUCAAGAGUAGCAUUGGAACCAAAGUCCUG
Molecule: long non-coding RNA, 859 nt
Filed under: Vulpes vulpes (red fox)
Lineage: Eukaryota; Metazoa; Chordata; Mammalia; Carnivora; Canidae
Description: lncRNA (ENSVVUG00000007285.1)
Source: RNAcentral